This 191-nucleotide ribosomal RNA is filed under the name Calonectria humicola. RNAcentral's name for it is "partial 18S ribosomal RNA". It matches the Rfam family "Eukaryotic small subunit ribosomal RNA", at positions 1642 to 1831 of the family's 1831-position model. The record is from RNAcentral. Lineage: Eukaryota; Fungi; Ascomycota; Sordariomycetes; Hypocreales; Nectriaceae.
GUUUUACGUCCCCUGCCUUUGUACACACCGCCCGUCGCUACUCCGGAUUGAUGGCUCAGUGAGGCGUCCGGACUGGCCCAGAGAGGCGGGCAACUGCCACUCAGGGCCGGAAAGCUCUCCAAACUCGGUCAUUUAGAGGAAGUAAAAGUCGUAACAAGGUCUCCGUUGGUGAACCAGCGGAGGGAUCAUUA